GCCCGAGGCGCGAGGCGACUCCGCCCACAGAGGGCGGGCCGGGCUCCAGUCAGGGUCAGUGGCACCCAAAGGUUUCUUCGGUGCUUAUCAGAAUGCCGUGAAAGCUCUUCCUCUGGGAGGUCAGCCUGUGUGCCUGGCAUUAAUCGUACACACAUCCCUCGGGUGCUCCAAUGAGCUGCAAUCUCUAAGAGCUCCUUGCUGACAUACAAGCAAAGUAAAGAAGAAAUGGUGCAAAACUUAAGUAUUUCCUCUGAUCUUACUCAGGGGCUGGAAAACAACAGAAGUGUAAUAAUUAAACUUCUGAAUAAGUA
This is a non-coding RNA of Meleagris gallopavo (turkey), 311 nucleotides long. The record is from RefSeq and is a predicted model, not a curated record. NCBI's taxonomy places the organism in Eukaryota, Metazoa, Chordata, Aves, Galliformes, Phasianidae.